ACUACGGGAGGCAGCAGUGGGGGAUAUUGCACAAUGGGGGGAACCCUGAUGCAGCGACGCCGCGUGGGUGAAGAAGCGCCUCGGCGCGUAAAGCCCUGUCAGCAGGGAAGAAAAUGACGGUACCUGAAGAAGAAGCCCCGGCUAACUACGUGCCAGCAGCCGCGGUAAUACGUAGGGGGCAAGCGUUAUCCGGAUUUACUGGGGGUAAAGGGGGCGCAGCCGGCGAUGCAAGCCAGGAGGGAAAGCCCGGGGCCCAACCCCGGGACUGCUCUUGGAACUGCGUGGCUGGAGUGCAGGAGGGGCAGGCGGAAUUCCUGGUGUAGCGGUGAAAUGCGUAGAUAUCAGGAGGAACACCGGUGGCGAAGGCGGCCUGCUGGACUGCAACUGACGUUGAGGCCCGAAAGCGUGGGGAGCAAACAGGAUUAGAUACCCUUGUAGUC
RNAcentral lists this ribosomal RNA (440 nucleotides) under uncultured bacterium. Its description in RNAcentral is "partial 16S ribosomal RNA". It matches the Rfam family "Bacterial small subunit ribosomal RNA", at positions 338 to 795 of the family's 1533-position model. The record is from RNAcentral.